UGCAUGUCUAAGUUCAAGCGAAAAUAAAGUGAAACCGCGAAUGGCUCAUUACAUCAGUUAUGGUUCCUUAGAUCGCACUUACUACUUGGAUAACUGUGGUAAUUCUAGAGCUAAUACAUGCGCUGGGCCCCAACCCUCGUGGAAGGGGCGCUUUUAUUAGAUCAAAGCCAAUCGGGCCUUCGGGCUCGUUUAAUUGGUGACUCUGAAUAACUUUGCUGAUCGCAUGGUCUCGUACCGGCGACGUAUCUUUCAAGUGUCUGCCUUAUCAACUGUCGAUGGUAGGUUAUGCGCCUACCAUGGUUGUAACGGGUAACGGGGAAUCAGGGUUCGAUUCCGGAGAGGGAGCCUGAGAAACGGCUACCACAUCCAAGGAAGGCAGCAGGCGCGCAAAUUACCCACUCCCGGCACGGGGAGGUAGUGACGAAAAAUAACGAUGCUAAACUCAUACGAGGCUUAGCAAUCGGAAUGAGUACACUUUAAAUCCUUUAACGAGGAUCUAUUGGAGGGCAAGUCUGGUGCCAGCAGCCGCGGUAAUUCCAGCUCCAAUAGCGUAUGUUCAAGUUGCUGCGGUUAAAAAGCUCGUAGUUGGAUCUCGGUUUCGGGAGGGCGGUGCGCCCAGCGGCGUUUACUGUCCACCCGGACGAUUUUGUUGGUUCGUUCAUGGUGCUCUUAACCGGGUGCCUUGAGUGGCCAGCACGUUUACUUUGAAAAAAUUGGAGUGCUCAAAGCAGGCGCUACAGCCUGAACAAUUGUGCAUGGAAUAAUGGAAUAGGACCUCGGUUCUAUUUCGUUGGCUUUCGGAGUCGAGGUAAUGAUUAAUAGGGACAGACGGGGGCAUUCGUACUGCGACGUUAGAGGUGAAAUUCUUGGAUCGUCGCAAGACGAACUACUGCGAAAGCAUUUGCCAAGAAUGUUUUCAUUAAUCAAGAACGAAAGUUAGAGGUUCGAAGGCGAUCAGAUACCGCCCUAGUUCUAACCAUAAACGAUGUCGACUGGCGAUCCGUCCCCGUUAACUGAAUGACUGGACGGGCAGCCUCCGGGAAACCAAAGUCUUUGGAUUCUGGGGGAAGUAUGGUUGCAAAGCUGAAACUUAAAGGAAUUGACGGAAGGGCACCACCAGGAGUGGAGCCUGCGGCUUAAUUUGACUCAACACGGGAAAACUCACCAGGCCCGGACACCGGAAGGAUUGACAGAUUGAGAGCUCUUUCUUGAUUCGGUGGGUGGUGGUGCAUGGCCGU
RNAcentral lists this ribosomal RNA (1238 nucleotides) under Heteromurus nitidus. Its description in RNAcentral is "SSU rRNA". It matches the Rfam family "Eukaryotic small subunit ribosomal RNA", at positions 52 to 1291 of the family's 1831-position model. Lineage: Eukaryota; Metazoa; Arthropoda; Collembola; Entomobryomorpha; Entomobryidae. The record is from RNAcentral.